GAAUUGAGAGUUAGUGAUGGCGUGGGUGUAAAGUCUUUAAUGCAACUUGUGUUAGUGAUUAGAUAAAUAAAAUAGAAUAGAAUAGAAGUCCAUAUAUGUAUUUGUUGCUGCAAUAAGCAAUAAGCUACUUCGGACCUAUCUCAGCUGCCAAUAAGGUUAGAAAUCAGUAUCGUUUGUCCAUAUAUGUAUUUGUUGCUGCAAAUCAAUGGCUUAUUGAAUUCUGUUUUUGGCUGCAGUUUUUCUCAUCAAAUGGUUUUCCUUGCCCAAGUCUCUAAUUUACAAUGUUCUCUUUGCCUCGUGCUCUCUCCUACCAGGGAGCUAGCUCAACAAGAAUCCGACAAUAUCAGAGGGUGAAUACCAACAAGAGAUUUGUGUUAGUUCCAUUUUUCUUGAAGGUGAGGAUAUAAAUAUGAGCAUUUCACAUGCUGCUGAUUCUAUUGGUUUGAAAGAGAUACCAAGAUAUGAAGUUAAAAUUAUUGAGGAGGAUGACUGGAUGAAAGGAGCUCAGGUCUCCUACUUUGUUUCCUUGA
Non-coding RNA from Arachis ipaensis, 530 nucleotides. Lineage: Eukaryota; Viridiplantae; Streptophyta; Magnoliopsida; Fabales; Fabaceae. The record is from RefSeq and is a predicted model, not a curated record.